RNAcentral lists this long non-coding RNA (368 nucleotides) under Suricata suricatta (meerkat). RNAcentral's name for it is "lncRNA (ENSSSUG00005020366.1)". Lineage: Eukaryota; Metazoa; Chordata; Mammalia; Carnivora; Herpestidae. The record is from RNAcentral.
GGGGGGAAAGGCACGGGGAGGGGGGGUCUGAAUGGGGCAUCAACGGCUUCCGGCUUCCGCCACAACCAUCCUUUGAAUAACUGAAUACACAUUUUCCAAGAGCUCCCAGCGCCUAAAGGACACUCAUGAGCUGGCGCAUAGCACCACUGGGACCCAGCUUUAUGUCCCGACGCCCCAUCCUCGGUGGCAAACUCCAACGUCUGCAGAGCCCAUCAGGCAGGAAAGAUGAAGGGCAAAGCCAGCCGGAGAUGAGGAACUGAGGCACGGAGAGGGCUAGCCAAGCAAGAAAUGAGAGAGCUCCAACUCCAACCGGACCAGUUGCUUCACGGCCACUCUGACCCUCUGUGGGAACCCUCCAGAAGGUACCA